CGAACGAGCUGUGAGAUCUUCGGAUGGAUACACUUAGUGGCGGACGGGUGAGUAACGCGUGGGUACCUGCCUCACACUGGGGGAUAACAGUUAGAAAUAGCUGCUAAUACCGCAUAAGUCCGCAUGGAAAAAACUCCGGUGGUGUGAGAUGGACCCGCGUCUGAUUAGCCAGUUGGCGGGGUAACGGCCCACCAAAGCGACGAUCAGUAGCCGGCCUGAGAGGGUGAACGGCCACAUUGGGACUGAGACACGGCCCAAACUCCUACGGGAGGCAGCAGUGGGGAAUAUUGCACAAUGGGGGAAACCCUGAUGCAGCGACGCCGCGUGAGUGAAGAAGUAUUUCGGUAUGUAAAGCUCUAUCAGCAGGGAAGAAGUGACGGUACCUGAAUAAGAAGCCCCGGCUAACUACGUGCCAGCAGCCGCGGUAAUACGUAGGGGGCAAGCGUUAUCCGGAUUUACUGGGUGUAAAGGGAGCAUAGACGGCAAGGCAAGUCUGAAGUGAAAGCCCGGUGCUUAACGCCGGGACUGCUUUGGAAACUGUUUAGCUGGAGUGCCGGAGAGGUAAGCGGAAUUCCUAGUGUAGCGGUGAAAUGCGUAGAUAUUAGGAAGAACACCAGUGGCGAAGGCGGCUUACUGGACGGUA
This 643-nucleotide ribosomal RNA is filed under the name uncultured bacterium. RNAcentral describes it as "bacterial SSU rRNA". It matches the Rfam family "Bacterial small subunit ribosomal RNA", at positions 63 to 738 of the family's 1533-position model. The record is from RNAcentral.